Molecule: long non-coding RNA, 2864 nt
Filed under: Ficedula albicollis (Collared flycatcher)
Lineage: Eukaryota; Metazoa; Chordata; Aves; Passeriformes; Muscicapidae
Description: lncRNA (ENSFALG00000024563.1)
Source: RNAcentral
GCGCGCGCCCUUAGCGUUGAGGGGGCGGGGCCGGCGGGCGCUGCAGCCCCGCCCCCCCCCCCCCCCCCCCCCCCCCCCCCCCCCCCCCCCCCCCCCCCCCCCCCCCCCCCCCCCCCCCCCCCCCCCCCCCCCCCCCCCCCCCCCCCCCCCCCCCCCCCCCCCCCCCCCCCCCCCCCCCCCCCCCCCCCCCCCCCCCCCCCCCCCCCCCCCCCCCCCCCCCCCCCCCCCCCCCCCCCCCCCCCCCCCCCCCCCCCCCGCCCCCCGCGGCCGUGAGGGCUCGGGCCCCCCGGGACGGGGACAGGGACAGCGGCACGGCUCGGGAGCGUCAGCCCCCCUGGCGACAAAGGUUUUGUUCAUUGAAGGAUAGCAAGUUUCGUGAGGUGCUGGGAUGGUGAAGGAAACUCUUAUUUUUUUUUGUAAACGAAAGUGAAUUGGGGAGGGGGAACAAACUGGGGGUAUCUGACUUCACUACCUGAAGAUAUAUUUGGAGAAUUAACCCCUGAUAUGCAAAUAGACCAAACAUAUCUGAAUGAAAAACUUGUGACCACCGUCCUAUCUUGGUUCAAAAUCUGGGAGGAUUUUGACUGCCCAAGGUGCAUCUAUUGAAGGCCUUUAUUAAAUACCCACUUUAUCCUCUUAACUCUGUCUAGCCUCUGUUUUAGGUAACUACUCCAAGGCUCAUUUGGGCUACCUAUAAACAGAGGCCAGACAAAGUUAAGAGAAUAAAAAGGAGUUGUAUUUAUUGAAGGGCCUUCAGGUACAUUUUGGGCAGACAAAGCCCCCUUAGAGGGGCUAUGGCCAAAAUGGACGAUGGAUCACGGGUUUUCACACUUUUGUAAGUUUGUGCCAUUUGCAUAUUGGGGGUUAAUCUUCCAAUUAAAGCUUCAGGUAAUGAAGUCAUUUACCCCAAGUUUGCUCCCCCCCAGCUCACUUUUGUUUCCAUCUCUCAGGGCCUGAGGCAGUGAGGUGUCCUUGAUUCCCAGCCUGGAGGGGAAUUGUUGUGUCUGCCCAAAAUGGGAGAGCAGCAGCUCACACUGGGUAUGGAGUUUAGAGUUAUACACUAAAGAAUUGCAGGAUUACAAAUAUAAAAGCUAAAAUCCUAAGGCAUCAGGGUGUCCAAACAUGAAGAUUCAAAGUUGAAAACAUCCUUCACUCUCUCUGACAAAAUGUACCAGAACAGAAAGAUUUAACUGACUUUCCCUUUCAUUUGCAAACUUGAAUUCACAGCAGAAUCAAGUGGCAGCUACAUUUCCUUGCAGCUUGUAAACUGUGCACAUAACCACGAUGGCAACGUCCUUUUGUUCUCCACUGUAUUAUGCAGUUUCAGUCUUGCAGAGUCUGAAAUGUUUAUUUCUUGCACAGAAAAAUGUGUCAGGAUAGAAGCAGUCUGGCAGGCUGCUUCUGUUGAAGCACAGUAGUGUCAUGCACUUUCUUUCUUAGCUAUUCAUAGCAUCACAUUUUGUCAUAGGGAGAGUUUCAGCACAGAUGCUGAAUUGUCUUAGUUUCUUCAUCUCUGGUUUCUGCAACACGUUCUUGUAGUCUGUAAAUUUUGCAUUCCUGGUGUCCUGUUCUGAUGUGCUCAGGCCAGCAGCAGGACUCAGCCAGAGCUGACUUACAAGAUGAACCCUGGGCAUUAUGUGACUAACACAAUCAGUAUUAUUUAGCUAAAAAUAGAUGCCUGAGAUGCUUAUUCCAGCUGUUUAACACCAAACCUGAUGCUUUAGAAACUACCAUAUACCCUUGUGUAGUUAUCUCCAAGAAAGGUAUCAUUUUAAGAAAUUUUCCCAACUGACAUGAAUAGAGGCUUGUUUGUAAGAUAUUUUAGGGGAAACCCUCCCAGCCAAGACCUGGCCUCUGGCCAAGCCCUGGCCCCUGCUGGUUGGGAAGUGUGCCAUCAGAUCCACAGGUGUUUCUUUGCCAAAAAUAUAAACAAGUCACUUUGACUUGUUGGUUUGGGCCUCUAAAAGCUGGACCCAGUUUGUGGUUGAAUUUGGAGACCUCACCUAUGGGUGGACACACUGUGUAGGGUUUUCCCAAUUGCUGGGAAGGGUUCUCCAGGUCCUCACUGUGAAAUGAGGCUCCUCAGUAAAGUAUUUAGAUAAUUGCGGAUGUAUCUUCCUCAAUCACUGUCUUGUCUCUCAUGUACUAAUGAUUAGGUACAUUACCUUGCUUGUUUUUGCUUGCUGCUAAAGCCAAGCAUGUAGUUUUAUUGAAUGUAUCAUUUUACUUUUGUGUUGCCCUAAUAGUCAUAGUAAAAUAAGACCAUUCUUUCUGUUGGUGUCUGUGUCCUUUAAAUUGCCCCUGGCACUUGGCAUGACAAGUUCUCAGCAUCACUUUUGCCCUAAUAGUCAUAGUAAAAUAAGACCAUUCUUUCUGUUGGUGUCUGUGUCCUUUAAAUUGCCCCUGGCACUUGGCAGGACAAGUUCUCAGCAUCACUUCUGUCCCUCAGGUUUUGUUCAUUGAAGGAUAUCAAGGUUGGCUUAGCAAAACUUAAAAUUUCAGUAACUAUCUUACAAUAGCAGUUUGUGAAAAAACUUUACUACAUGCUGGCUAAAGUGGAAAAUCACACUGCUUAUUAUUAAUUAAAAUAAUUAAUUGAAAGUUAACCCCAUUAAGUAGAAAAAUGAAUUAGGAAAGUUCCAUAAUUUCCAUCUCUUGGAGGAGUUUCGUGAGGUGCUGGGAUGGUAUUGGAGAUGCUAGGAGGAGCUUCAGUGCUGGUAAAGUGGAUUUAGGGGGAACAGGGAAGGAUUGAUUUGGUGGUAUCAAUUGACACAACUUUCAGUGGUGCUGGGUGAGGUUUGAGAGUGCUAAAGAGGAGCUGCAGCUGGCUAAGCUGGUUUUGGGUAAUGUUGGGAAAGUUUGAA